RNAcentral lists this ribosomal RNA (476 nucleotides) under uncultured organism. RNAcentral describes it as "partial 16S ribosomal RNA". It matches the Rfam family "Bacterial small subunit ribosomal RNA", at positions 334 to 801 of the family's 1533-position model. The record is from RNAcentral.
CACUCCUGCGGGAGGCAGCAGUGGGGAAUUUUGGACAAUGGGCGAAAGCCUGAUCCAGCCAUGCCGCGUGCAGGAUGAAGGCCUUCGGGUUGUAAACUGCUUUUGUACGGAACGAAACGGCCUUUUCUAAUAAAGAGGGCUAAUGACGGUACCGUAAGAAUAAGCACCGGCUAAAUACGUGCCAGCAGCCGCGGUAAUACGUAGGGUGCAAGCGUUAAUCGGAAUUACUGGGCGUAAAGCGUGCGCAGGCGGUUAUGUAAGACAGUUGUGAAAUCCCCGGGCUCAACCUGGGAACUGCAUCGGUGACUGCAUAGCUAGAGUACGGUAGAGGGGGAUGGAAUUCCGCGUGUAGCAGUGAAAUGCGUAGAUAUGCGGAGGAACACCGAUGGCGAAGGCAAUCCCCUGGACCUGUACUGACGCUCAUGCACGAAAGCGUGGGGAGCAAACAGGAUUAGAUACCCUGGUAGUCCCAUGAU